Mytilus californianus (California mussel) is the source of this 357-nucleotide long non-coding RNA. RefSeq lists it as uncharacterized. The record is from RefSeq and is a predicted model, not a curated record. Lineage: Eukaryota; Metazoa; Mollusca; Bivalvia; Mytilida; Mytilidae. The transcript is spliced from 3 exons.
AAAAAGAAAAAACUAUUCGAAAACGCUAACAGCGAUGGCAGAAGGUAGCAUGAGACAAGAACACAGAAGUGAACAAUCUGGUCCUCCAUAAUUCUUUGAUGGCCAAAAUGAACAUCAGCGGAAAAAAUGGCAAAAUUUCAUUUGGUGCCUCAAAGUUGUUCACAAUAAUUCUUGAUUGUGUCUCAGAGUCCUUUCCUGAGUCGGUUGAAGCAACAGAAACUAUGAUGAAGAGUGAAAUGUCCAGGUUCCUGAAAUAUGCCCCUGAAAGGCACAGAGGUGGAGGGAGGAAAGAAAAAAGAAAGAGGCAGGAUGAGGACAUUUCAAAUUCCAUUCCAGAUGCUCAAAAUAAAUAAAUGA